This 894-nucleotide long non-coding RNA is filed under the name Fukomys damarensis (Damara mole-rat). RNAcentral describes it as "lncRNA (ENSFDAG00000021942.1)". The record is from RNAcentral. Lineage: Eukaryota; Metazoa; Chordata; Mammalia; Rodentia; Bathyergidae.
AUGUUUAUGUGUGUAUAUGUGUAACUGUGUGUGCAUAAUUAGGAGGUUGUUUAAUCAACUUUAUGAAGGUUGAGAUCUUGAGUACUUUUAAUGUUCACUUUGAUGCCUUUUUUAAAAUGUUCCCCUUUCUUCACAUGUGCCAUUGAGAAGGUAAAUAGACCUUCUUGACCAACAAACCAAGAAUCAUUUUAACAAAAUCUACACUGGAGCAGCCUGACUUUUUCUUCUGACCUGUAAUUUCCUAAGAUCGCCCGUCCAAUUUGAAGCCGGAAAGGAACUGGAAAGAGAAGUCUUACAAGCUAUUUGUCUUCUUGGCUUUCUCCUUUUCAUCCUCACCUACACCUAGUUAACAGACACUGAGCACCUGCCUCCACAGAGCAGGAGAGCACGACGGAGUGGUCUGAGCGUCUGAGAUACAUUGUGUAGCAGCUGGAGGUUUUGGAAAGGGGAAGGAGCCAGACGAGCUCAAGUGCUGGUUACACUGAUAGGAAAAGAGCAUUGAAGAGGAAUCUCAAAAAAGAAGAGUGCAGAAAUGUUUAAUUCGAUGAAUCAGAGGGAAAGAACAUGGAUCUUUAGCAGUUAAAGAACAAAUUAAGAUUGCAGAUUUGGGAUAUUGAUGUUUCCACUUUUGAGGACAUUUCCUUUCUUGCGUUGAAUCUUUUCAUUUUUUUUAAAAUCAUCUGUCUUGGAACACAGAGGAGGAACCAGAAAUAUACUUAUUUUGUUUCAUACCUGGAACACUCAUCCCUGAGAAACUCCAACAACAACCACACAGCCAUGUGGCCAUUACAGCUCCUGACCUUCACGAUGCUCUCAGCACCAGUAGUUCAUGGUAAGGUCUUUCAUUCAGCUUUUGUGUGAUGUCCUGCGUUGUCUCACGUGUUCGUACCUCGG